Molecule: ribosomal RNA, 468 nt
Filed under: uncultured bacterium
Lineage: Bacteria
Description: partial 16S ribosomal RNA
Rfam family: Bacterial small subunit ribosomal RNA
Source: RNAcentral
GACGAACGCUGGCGGCGGGCUUAACACAUGCAAGUCGAACGGAAAGGCCCUGCUUUUGUGGGGUGCUCGAGUGGCGAACGGGUGAGUAACACGUGAGUAACCUGCCCUUGACUUUGGGAUAACUUCAGGAAACUGGGGCUAAUACCGUAUAGGAGCUCCUGCUGCGUGGUGGGGGUUGGAAAUUUUCGGCGGUUGGGGAUGGACUCGCGGCUGAUCAGCUUGUUGGUUGGGUAGUUGCUUACCAAGGGUUUGACGGGUAGCCGGCCGGAGAGGGUGACCGGCCACAUUGGGACUGAGAUACGGACCAGACUCCUACGGGAGGCAGUAGUGGGGAAUAUUGCACAAUGGGAGGAAGCCUGAUGAAGCAACGCCGCGUGCGGGAUGACGGCCUUCGGGUUGUAAACCGCUUUAGCCUGUGACGAAGCGUGAGUGACGGUAAUGGGUAAAGAAGCACCGGCUAACUACGUG